UACGGGGGGGGCAAGCGUUGUUCGGAAUUACUGGGCGUAAAGCGCGUGUAGGCGGGUCUUUAAGUCAGGGGUGAAAUGCCAAGGCUCAACCUUGGAACUGCCUUUGAUACUGGAGAUCUUGAGUCCGGGAGAGGUGAGUGGAAUUGCGAGUGUAGAGGUGAAAUUCGUAGAUAUUCGCAAGAACACCAGUGGCGAAGGCGGCUCACUGGCCCGGAACUGACGCUGAGACGCGAAAGCGUGGGGAGCAAACAGG
This 253-nucleotide ribosomal RNA is filed under the name uncultured bacterium. Its description in RNAcentral is "partial 16S ribosomal RNA". It matches the Rfam family "Bacterial small subunit ribosomal RNA", at positions 524 to 776 of the family's 1533-position model. The record is from RNAcentral.